GCCUUCUUGGUAUAGUGGUCGGCACGCUGGACGUGUAUUCCAGAGAUCCGUGGUUCGAAUCCCAGUGAAGGCG
This 73-nucleotide transfer RNA is filed under the name Stegodyphus mimosarum. It matches the Rfam family "tRNA". From Rfam's summary of the family: Transfer RNA (tRNA) molecules are approximately 80 nucleotides in length. Their secondary structure includes four short double-helical elements and three loops (D, anti-codon, and T loops). The record is from Rfam by way of RNAcentral. Lineage: Eukaryota; Metazoa; Arthropoda; Arachnida; Araneae; Eresidae.